This 318-nucleotide ribosomal RNA is filed under the name Amblyomma exornatum. Its description in RNAcentral is "partial small subunit ribosomal RNA". The record is from RNAcentral. Lineage: Eukaryota; Metazoa; Arthropoda; Arachnida; Ixodida; Ixodidae.
UAAUAUUGUUAGUAUAUAAGAAUUAUGAAAACAAAAAAUUGUGGCGGUACUUUAAGCUUUUCAGAGGAAUUUGCUCUUUAAUGGAUAAAACACCUAAACCUUACUAAAAUUUGUCAUUUCAGUUUGUAUACCACUAUAAAAGUAAAAGUUCAUAAUAAUUUCUAUAAUUUUUUAUAAAAAAAGAAAAUUAAGUCAUGGUGCAGCUAAAAUUUAAGAAUGAAGUGAAUUACAUUUUUUUUUAAUUAAUUAAUUAAUUAAAAAAGAAUAUAGGAUUUGAAAGUAAAAAUUUAAUAAAAUGAAAUUUUGAAUUACCCUCUG